Molecule: unclassified non-coding RNA, 380 nt
Filed under: soil metagenome
Description: partial contains 5.8S ribosomal RNA, internal transcribed spacer 2, and large subunit ribosomal RNA
Rfam family: 5.8S ribosomal RNA (bases 1-120)
Source: RNAcentral
GAUGAAGAACGUAGCGAAAUGCGAUACGUAAUGUGAAUUGCAGAAUUCAGUGAAUCAUCGAAUCUUUGAACGCACCUUGCGCUCCUUGGUAUUCCGAGGAGCAUGCCUGUUUGAGUGUCAUUAAUAUAUCAACCUCUUCAGCUUAUGCUUGUUGAGUGUUGGAUGGUGGGGGUUUGCUGGUGUCUUAUGAAGUCAGCUCCUCUGAAAUGCAUUAGCGGAACAAUUUGUUGACCGUUCAUUGGUGUGAUAAAAAUAUCUACGCUAUUGACGUCAGUCAGUUCAGCUUCUAACAGUCCAUUGACUUGGACAAAUUUUUCAUUAAUGUGACCUCAAAUCAGGUAGGACUACCCGCUGAACUUAAGCAUAUCAAUAACGGAGGA